Molecule: RNA transcript, 4553 nt
Organism: Rhineura floridana
Lineage: Eukaryota; Metazoa; Chordata; Lepidosauria; Squamata; Rhineuridae
Exons: 4
Source: RefSeq, a predicted model, not a curated record
GCUUACUUCAUCCAAAAUAAUAAGAUCAGAGUUUAUGGAGUUAAGUGUUUCAAAGUUUAAUGUUUCUUGUGCUGGGGGAGUCAAAGGGGAUAAAUUCUUUUCCAGCAUAGUUGGUCCUAAUGAUAGAGAAGAGCAGUUCAUGUUUAAUGUGCUUUUAAGAGGAAGCUGUUCCAGGAAUGGAUCCAAGUUUCCAGAGUUUGAUAUAUUUUUGCUGCUGUUCGAGGAAAACUUCCUCCUCUCAUGUGAAGAGAUAAGGUUUGUUGUUGGAGUUCUCUUUGUGAACAAGGAAAUUGGACUGGCCAGGUUUGUGAAAUGUCUCUGAACGGAUAUUCCAUGGUAGCUGAGAAGGGAUUUAUUUGCAAUUAUCCGUGCUGUUGUCUCAGCCGAUUUAAAGGGUCACAACUCUUGAGAAGGAGGCGGCUGGUCGUGCUCUUGGCAUCAACUCAGCUUCUUCUGGGGCUUUGUGGGAUCUGGCUGCUUCUACACUUACAACAUCUAUACAGUCUGCACCAGGGGCCUACACUUCGCUUCCGGAGGCGGCAGCAGUUCCUGUUGCUAACGACACCUCACUUAUUGCUUUGCCAUCUCUGCUUCCGGUUGAUGGAUUGGAUCCAGAGAUCUGAUGAGUGGAGUUCUCAUGGUGGAAAGAUCCUGCUCACAGAAGUAGAAGAAGCUAUUUCCCCUGAUUCCCCUCUGCUAUACAGUCCUAUACAUCUCCUGAAAUGGGGAGGGUUGGCUGGCCAUCCAGAACAGCAUGGCAGGUGGCACAAGAAGUCACAAGUGGAAAUAAGGGGAAACUGCCUAACCCCCCUUUCUUCAGUUCUGUGAACCUACUCUGGUCAUAACCCCUUCCAUGAACAGAAGGAACGCUUUUAUUUUCAGAAUGGCUAUUCUAGAUAUAGACCUAAAUGUAAUUGCUGGUGACAAAAUGAGAAUUAAGCAAUAUGAACUGCUUAUGCAACUAAUGAUAGCUUCCCCCCCUUUUUUUUUCAAGCGGUAUCAACAUCCCUACUGUGGCCCUGUUCAGAUAUUCAUUUCACUCACAUGCAGGAGAAAAUGAGUCUGCUGGCAAUCUCCAUCCCCUCUGGCACACCAGACCCUGUAUUUACAGCCCUCCAAUGGCAGAAGGGCAUUCUCCUGAAGAAAGGAGCAUUCUAGACUCAUGGAGGCUUCCACCAUGAUUUGCAAUCACUCAUGGAGGACACCACGGUGGAGAGCUUGCCAGCUUCCUCCUGCUUUCCCUCAUGUGAGGGAAAUUACCAAAUAGAGGUUGAAAGAUUACUAAAACUUACAAACUAAUUCUAACGUUCUGGCCUCUUGAGUCUGGCUCCUUUUUAAAACCCAUGUGAUUACAAAAAGGAAGCCAUGUCUCCAGAAUGUUUCAUUUGACUUGCCCACUUAAGUCUUCAAUGGAAGCCCUGCUCUGUGCCCUAUACCACCAAGAUAGUUCAAUUGGUGAGUACAUGGGGCAAGCCAUUCUUGAAUACAUCAGCUUGAUGUGGAACUCUAUCCCUAGUUUUGUCUCCCUCUCCUUUUGGCAUUUUCUGAAAACUGCUGUGUUCCAAUAGGCCUAUGUCUUGCAUUUCCCCUCUCUUUUUAAAAUUUUGAUCCUAGAGGUGCAUAUGGGUUGUUUCUGGUUUUGCUGCUUAUGUUGCUCUUCAUUUUGGAAGAUAAGGGGAAAUGAUUUUAAAUUUACGCUUAUUUAAAUUAGAUUUUUAAUUUGGUAUGUUGGCCACCUUGGCCCUCACUUUGUGGGACUGAAAGACAGGAUGUAAACAUUUUAAAAAUAAAAUAAUAAUCAGAUGUGUGUCACACUAGCUUGACACUUGCCAUUGAUAAACAAGCUGUGCAGGCAUGCCUAUGGAAAACAAUGGCAAUGCUACACAUCUUUUUUGAGUAUUACAAGCAGUACUAAUAAGUGCUGUGACAGCCCUUUAUAAUAUUCCUUUAAAAUAUCAGACAGUAUGAGCACUAGAGAAUAACAUAGCAAAGAGUAAAAAUAUGAUAGACAUAAAUCUUAUAAAUUAUUACAGUUUGAGAAAUGUAAGAACUUGCAAUUAGAGCGGGAGAUCAAAUAGGAUUUCUCUCUGCCCAAAAUUGUUUCAAAGGCUUAUGUUCUUCUGUGCCCCUAAGUACAAUAAUUUAUGAAGCAGUAGGCGAUCCCUAAUACUCUGCCAAAGAGCUCAAAGUUGAUUAUAAUGAAUUAUAGUCUAGAAGACUUAUAAAGAAUUAGAGUGACAGGUGUUCGUUCAAGGCAUCAGUCAUCAGCACAUUUAAGCAGCAGAACUGCAGUUUACAGGCGGACAAUACCUGAAUAGGCCCCACCCUUUCAGGAAGGUGGGGGGACCUUAAAAAAAGACUUCUCAAUGACCUUUCACACAAUGAGACAAUGUUGUGAAAUGAAGAGCAAUUAUUUCUGCACCUCUUUAUCAAUAACUGGCAAUUAGAAAGGCUGCUUUAGUAUUAUACUAUGAAAGUUAACAUUUCAGGAACAGAGAUGAACAGUUUGCUCUUCAGCAUAUUCAGAUAGAAGGUAGACUGUGCUGCUGCAUUCAAUCUUAAAUGCUCCAUUUUCAUAAUAAUUUGUAACCCAAUUAAUUGGGAGUUUUUGUUUGGUCAAUGUUGACUGCAUAUGGUGUUCUCCCUCUCUCCCUCCCAUUCAUUCUACCUUCUAGCAUCAAUCCUUUAGUAGUUUAAUUUUUUUAAAACAGUGAUUAGAGGUGGCUGGGGCUAAAACAAAAAAACAAAAAACUUUUCAGAAUGUUUGGGAGCAGGUUGCUGGUUACUCAUGACGUGGCCAAGAGAUUUUCCAUUCUUCACUUACUUUAAAAAAAAAUAGCCAUAGGUUCCCAUCAGCCACACUUCCUGGAAUGACUUGGAAGUGACAUCAUGUGCUCCUGGGUUUUGCCCAAUAGUUGUUUUUAUACCAUGUUUUAACUUCUUUGUAAGCCACCUUGAGGGACUGAAUUGGGGCUUUAAGGUAUUAAAUGACUUAUGAAGGAAAUAAAGAAAUGGGUAUGUGUUGAACUGAUUUUUGUGAAUAGUUUAACACAUCCUACACAAUUAUUAUAAUCAUUAUCCUAUUAUUUCUUUGUUUUUAUUUAUGUAGUCCCAUCAACGUGCAGUUUACAAAGAAACACAAAAAAUACAGUUCUCUGCCUUGAUCAGCUUGCAAUCUAUAACUUGACAUGGAAACUAGAGGCAGAGAUGCGGAGAAACAAGAGGUUAAUUAUGACAAAUAUGUGUUCAGUUCAGUUAUACAUAUUUAGGCCUAGUUUCCCCGUUACUAAAAUUGAGGGACUAAGGAGUAGUACAAAGGCCUUCAGACAAAAGGUGGAUUUUGAUUUGCAGCUGCAGUUAGGCAAUGAAGAGCCAUGACCAGGUGAAGUGUGAGUGAAACAAGGGCCACAUUUAGAAUCAUAGAGUUGGACUUAUAAGGCCAUUGAGUCCAACCCCCUGCUCAAUGCAGGAAUCCAAAUUAAAACAUACCUGACAGGUGCCUGUCCAGGUGCCUCUUGAAUGCCUACAGCAAUGGAGAGCCCACCACCUCCCUAGGUAAUUGGUUCCAUUGUCGUACCAUUUUAACAGUUAGGAUGUUUUUCCCAGAGCUUGGAAGUAACUCAUUACAAAUAACGAGUUACUUGUAAUUUAUUACUUUUUUGAGUAACAGGUGGGUAACUUCGUUACAUUUUGCUUCUAACAGAACGAGUGGUAAUUUUAUUACUUUUCAGCAGCAACUGUAACGUUUCCAGCGUUACUUUUGGAUGUUACUUGGGGGGAAAGCAAGGGAAGUCUUCUGCUCCUGUGAUUGGUGGACAAAAGACAUGUGCUUCACACUGGACUUCUGCACAGAGGUUGCUCUUCCCUCAUGCUCUGUGUUACGAGGCCACGAGGGAGGAGGUGGAGAGCCAGACGGUCAUGGAGUGGAGAGAAAAAGAAAUUUCUGCAAAAAUGGACCAUGGUGGAGAGGAAAGGAGUGGAGGGAGAAAGCCUGAUGGCAAGGAUGAAGGCGGAGGAGGGAGCAGCAGAAUGCAGAUGAAGAUUUGUGGAGGUAUAUGAAGGGGAAGCGAUGCCUGAGGCAGCGCCUCAGAGUCACACAAAGUGAGACGCUAAGUGUGCACUUAGCGUCGCACUUGGAGUCAUCUUGGGGUUGUCUUGGGGAAAGAAGACAACGGAAGAAAUGUUCAUAAUGCUACUGGUUAUAGAAGAUGGUGGUCAGGUGGGGAGAAGCACAAUGGGAAAUUAGAGAACAUUUUUAGAUAUAUUUUAUAAUUGUUAUAUUCUGUUUUGUUUUGUUUUGUGUUUGAUUUAUUCUGUUUUCAUGUUAUUUAUAUUGUUUAGAUAUUUAUUGUUCAGUUAUGUUUAUUUAAAAUGUGAAUUAUUGCUUCUUCUUUUUUUACUAGCAAUUGUACCAAAUGUGAAUGUAUAUUGAUUUUUAUGUUAUAAACCGCCCAGAGAGCUUUGGCUAUGGGGCGGUAUACAAGUGUAAUAAUAAUAAUCCUAGAACUCUGUGUCAAAUUUAUUUUUAUUCAUUUAGUUUAGAAAGUGUUAGG